This 254-nucleotide ribosomal RNA is filed under the name uncultured bacterium. RNAcentral describes it as "partial 16S ribosomal RNA". It matches the Rfam family "Bacterial small subunit ribosomal RNA", at positions 524 to 776 of the family's 1533-position model. The record is from RNAcentral.
GACGAACCGUGCGAACGUUAUUCGGAAUCACUGGGCUUAAAGCGCGUGUAGGCGGGCCGGCACGUCCGUCGCUGAAAUCCCCCGGCUCAACCGGGGAAGGGGCGCCGAUACGGCCGGCCUGGAGGGACGUAGGGGGGGCUGGAACUUCCGGUGGAGCGGUGAAAUGCGUUGAGAUCGGAAGGAACGCCCGUAGCGAAAGCGAGCCCCUGGACGUCUACUGACGCUGAGACGCGAAAGCCAGGGGAGCGAACGGG